RNAcentral lists this long non-coding RNA (9165 nucleotides) under Marmota monax (woodchuck). The stretch from base 8372 to 8440 matches the Rfam family "tRNA". Lineage: Eukaryota; Metazoa; Chordata; Mammalia; Rodentia; Sciuridae. The record is from RNAcentral.
GAGAGCUGAUUACUUUGCAUANAGACACACAGAGACACAUACACACAAUAAAAAUAAGAAUUGUGAGGCUCAAGCUCUUUUUGACAGCAGGCUCAUUUCAGGCAAGAAGACUUCCCGGCACCCUUUGCACCAGGAUCUGCACUAUUUCCCCUUCAGGCCCAGCAAUCGCAUUGUGUGUGCUUGGACCGCCAUGGAGCACAUUGACCAGAACAACGGCUGUCUGGCUGUCCUCCCAGGCACCCACAAACUUCCCCUGAUGCCGCAUGACUACCCCCAGUGGGAGGUAGGUCUGUCUGACCACUGAGUCUGGAUCAGAAUCUCUUUCACUGUUGUAAUUUUACAUCAGGUGCAAAAAGCUUAGAAAUGAGACUGCUUUCCUUUCUCAGCAAAGCACUGUCCUGAAAUUUGCAAUUAGGAUCCGGGGGAGUUCAAGGACAUAAGAUCAAAUAUUCAUUAUAUUUUUCUUUCAUCAUAUGUGUGAAAGCCAGCUAGUUUGGGGACCUGGAUCUGGAGGGGCCUAGGAUCUGAGAUGGCGAGGCCUGAUGGCAGAGGUCAGACAUCAACCCUUCAACUCUGGUGUGUGUGAAGUGCCCACUGACUGAGGCUCUCAGAGUAGAGGAAGGGAGGGAGGAAUUGCCUCCUUGUCCCUGUGAGGACCAGCAGAGGCUCAGGGGUGGGAGGUGGUGACUGAGCUGAGCCUUGAAGGACAAGGUAGAUUUUCUAUCGCAAAAAGGCUCCUUGGAGGAAUCAGAGUUAUUGACAAGCGCAGAUCUGACUGUGGAGUAGGAAAGAUUGAAGGUUAUCCCAGUUCUGAUGGGCUGGGGGUAGAGGCACAUUUUAGGAAGUAGGAGAGGGAGGAGAGCCUGGAAAGGUAUGCUAGGACAGGAUUAAAAAGCACUUUAACACUUGGAGGUUACAUGAAGAAAAUGGGGUUGUUCCCUUUUUAGGAAGCAGCAAGAGCUUGUAAUUUCUAAUAAUAUGGGGUUUUGUCAUAUAGAUGGCACAUAUUUUCAGUGUAUAAUUUAAUCAUUUUGACACACAUGUACCUGGUAUCACAAUCAAGAGGAUAUUUUCUACCUCCUGCCUCAGGUAAGAACUCACCUGCUUUCUGUUCCUAUUUUUUAAUUUGCAUUUUAUAAAAUGUCGUGUAAAGUCUAAUUAAGUGGCAUAUACUUUUUUUUGAGUAAUUGCUGUUGCACAGCAUAGGUAUUUAGAGGCUCAUGAAACCUGACUCAUGUCUCAAUAGCUUGUUCCUUUCCAUUCCUGAGUAGUAUUCCGUGGCAUGGCUGAACAAUGUUUGGUUUAUCCAUUCAAAUAUUGAUGCUGGGGAGCUACUAUGUGCUUCUGCAUCCAUGAAUGAUGAGGUCCUAUCCAUUCUUCAAGAACAUGAUCUCAGGUCUGGGGCAUGAUUCAUGAUUCCCAGGAGGUAUAGGAGCUCAGAGGCAGCAAAACCAGAGAGCAGAUCUCAGCUUUUUUGAUGCCAGACCAGAAGAUCCUGAAAUCCCUGAUGAUGGUCCGAAUGGAAAGGGCAGCUGUGGUGAGCAAGGAGACUGCGUCUUGUUUCUGUAGGAUGUGAAGGCUGUGGCUUCAAGGGCUUUUCUCUCCGAAUUCUUGCACUACUGAUUGUGUUCUGUGGAAAUAUUUGAGUCUGAAUCCCAAUAUAAAAGUGGAAAUGGUGAAAUUCAUCAGUUAAGUUCUGGGACAGGCAAGGGUUGGUGCAAUCCUAAGGAGGCUGUGGCUGAUUGAGCAGAAGGGAAUGGCGUCCAAGGCUAUGGGAGCAGACUGGUGUCUGAGAUGCUGUUGAGAUUCACAGCAGUGGCAGUGGAAGGUCAGCUUAGCUUAGCAGGGGUCAAUAUGCACCUUGGCCAGGAAAGAAGGGCAGGGGGUCAAAGUCACAAUGUGAAGCACAAUGACAAUGGUAAUUGCCGAAAAGGAUACUCUUAGCUGAGGAAUGGGACCCUUCUGCCCAGAAGCAUAAAGGCUCUUCAACUGUAGUCACUUCUCUUUUUAGUUUCUAUAAUAAAGACAUACACAUUUCCUAGAGUUCUGACUACUUUUGGAAAUAGUUAUCAACAAACACAGUAUUUAAACUUACUAUUCCCUUUUUAUUCUGAAUAUGACAUAAAUCCUUUGAGCUUAGAAAAAUUGAGCAUAUUCUCCACUUGGUUUGGGGAGAAUAAUUAGCCUCUCUAAAAUACCCUGAUUUAUACAAGAAUGAUGUGAACAAAAUUCUAGGUGAGGAGAAUAUCAGGCUGGGGCAAGGAUGUUAAGAUUGAAGGUGGAAAUGCCUAAGAGAAAGGUGUUCACCUGCAUUCACCACAAGAGGCAGAACUGAUCUGAUUAUUUAUAAUUCAAUGAGGAAGGGUAGGUAAAGUUCAACAUUUUUUCAUUUGGUCAAAAAACCCGUGAACUUAUUAUUAACUUGUGAUUUUAAUUUGUAGCAUUGCUGGGGUUCAAACUCAGAGCCUUGCACAUGCUAGGCAAGCCCUCCACCACUGAGCUAUAUCCUCUGCCCUUUAUACAAAUCUUAAUUUGAGACAGAGUCUGGCUAAGUUUGCUAGUCUACCCUGAACUUGUGAUGCCUGGCCUCAGCCUCCCAAGUAGCUGGGAUCACAGGUGUGUAACACUGUACUCAUAGCAGACGAUGUUUAAAAACCCAGACAUAUCACAGACUUUUGCAUUUUUUUUUAAAUUUAAGAUUUUAAUUUUAAAGUCUUUCUCUUGGAAGAAGUCAGAGAACCCUUGCUGUCCCUGCCAAGUCAUACACAAAGCAUUGAUUUCUUCCUCCAGUGUAGACUGUGCCUGUCUUAUGUGUUCCAGGGUGGAGUUAACAGCAUGUACCAUGGGAUCCAGGACUAUGACAAAGACCAUGCCCGAGUGCACCUUGUGAUGGAGAAGGGAGACACCGUUUUCUUUCACCCUUUGCUCAUCCAUGGAUCUGGUCGGAACCAAACUCAAGGAUUCCGGAAAGUAUGCAUCCAGAUUUUAAAAGAUGGGUUCAAAACAGAAAGUCAUUUGUAUAGUAACAUGUAAAGAUUUAUGACUUUUCACUAAACUGGAUUGUUUUUUCCAGUUUACUUUCCAGAAAGUAUAUUUGCCUUUUAGUGCUUUUGUUUGUUUUGAUUUUGCUCUACUCUGUGAGAAGACAGGUGCCCUCAGGAUCCUAAACCUGUUGCUCUUGAAUCUUGGUCAUUUGUGAAAUUGCUUCAGAGCAGUAGCUCACCUUGCAGUGCACAGAUUCUGCUUUCUGAGGCAAAAACAAUGGCUGAAAUACUCAAAUAAUCACAUUUGGAAUUUAUAUUGCUCAGGGUAACUAGAACAAGAAGAAAAUUUAUCAUAUUAUUAUUGGGAAAAUAGUAUUGAUCUGAAGCAAAGGUUCUGAAUUGGCUGCUCAAAAUGAGAUUUAGCAUGCAGCCAUAUUUAUCCCCUUCCAAUCUCAUGUUUUAAAUUAAAUAAUUUUGUCACAUUUAAAAUGGACAGAAUUCCUCAAAAUUUCUCUGAUUUCUCACUUCUCUCAAAUUCAGCAGAUCUCAUAGUAUUGUCGGUUCACUUUUCCCCAAGGUAACAUGGUUGUCCAUACUAUUGAGGCUUCUUUAAGAUUCAGUGGGGUUUCCCAAUUUGUUCCCUGGUUCCCACUGAUCCCUGUUUUAACCCUGAGUAUAGGGUUGCAGACUUCAUUUAUUUAUAUUUGCACCAGGUUCACCAGGCCUGGCACAGGUUGAUACAAGUUGGAACAUUGCCUGAGGAUGAAAUUGAAGGGGCUACCAAAAUCUCAGCCAUCAAAAUAAGUGGUGUUUUACUAAAUCAAUAUUAAUGCAAAACAUCCAUGCUGUCCUCAAUGCCAAAAAUUUAAGUAAAAGACAAGAAAUACCUGCACUAGAACAACUCUCAAGUUGUGUAACUAUGGGGGUGCAGGCACAAAGAUGCAAAUAGUGAUGUCAGUUGUAGAAUAUUAAUAUUGAAAUACUUCCAUAUUUUUCAGUUAUUUUAAUGUUCUGGAAGAAUAUUUAUAAUUAUUUCCUAACAACUUGGAUGUAGGAAUAUACAACAAUUCUUUUUGCCUUGGGUCUUGAUGUGGCUCUGCUUGGCACUGGACUUGCACAGAAAUUUGAGGUUGGAUCUGCACUUUAGAAGUUCAAAAUUUUGGGCACAGCAGAAAGUUUUUAUAAAAAUUGCCAUUUCUGUAAUAACCUGUCCCAAAUUUUACUGGGUAUCUAAGCUUUAUGACUAAGAAGAUGAUGAACCACAGAGGGGUACAUUCUUUUUUUAGGACGUGGAGGUAUAUGUUCAUUGGGAAAACUUAAAUGCUUAAAAAUGUGAAGAUCGGUUACUUAGGUAGUUAUGCCCCCUGUCCUACAUAUACCUUUAAAAAGUAAAUAGUAUAGCUAGGUAAAAAAAAUCUUUUGUAAUUUCUUAAUUAGCCUUCAGUUGGGGAUAGGAUGGAGAGGCUGACCUACAAAGAGGCAGAUUUGGGAUGCCAUGGAGUGUUCUACCAGUUUAGAUGUCAAAUUCUGGGUGGAAGAAUUGACUUUCUUUGUAGACCCUUUUGGGUCUGCUAGGUAUAGAAUCAUGGAGAAUUGGCUUUCUGCAAGGAGGAACUCCUAGCUUGGUUGUUGCAUUCAUGGAGUUCUUUUCUCCAUUAUCGAUUGUUCACUCUGCACAGGCAAUUUCCUGCCAUUUCGCCAGCGCUGAUUGCCACUACAUUGACGUGAAGGGCACCGUUCAAGAAAAUAUCGAGAAAGAAGUUUUGGGAAUAGCAGACAGAUUGUAUGGAACUGAAAGUGGCUUAAACUUUAAGGUACACUUGCAUGAAAAAAAUCAAGAUGCCUGAAGUUUCUUGUUUUCAUGUGCUUAAUUCAUUCCUAAUUUAAUUUAAAAUUAAGGAUAAGGGGAAUUCUAUAUGCAUAGGAGCAAACUUAAAGGUUUGGGACUUCAAUCGGGCCUCCUUUCUUGGCAAAGUAUAUUUUUAUUAGGAAAUCCAGUCAGACUCCACAGAGCAGUUCUGGGGUCAGUGUUCCUUUCGGUAAAUGUGCAUCUGGAGUUUUAUGAGAGGCAUAAUGUGCAUGGAGCAGGGAUGAAUACAUCUAAGGGGGCAUUAGAUAGUGUUCCAUGUGCUUUCCUAAUUGAUACACAUCACUUGGAAAGUGUCUGUUUUUAAGUGGUGGAUAUUCCAUGAUGCUGAUGAGCAGAAGGCAAAUUAUCAAUCCAGGGAAUUAAAUAAACAUCUUCACUUUAUAUAAAACACACAUUUUAGGCCCUGAAUGAAGAAGCUCUUCCUAUUUAUGUUAUUGGUAUGAGAUAAUGAUAAUGCAGGCAUGCCCCUUCCCUCAAGAGACUGAGAGUGAUGAUGACUCUGGGCCAUCCAGGAUGUUGUAAGGCUCAGCACAUCAGAGGGAUGCCACAGUGCCAUUGCGAACCUUUGGAAUAGCUUUCCAGGGUGGAGAAUCUUGCUUCUCCUUUUAGAACCUACCAAUAUGUCCCUUGUCUAAAAAUGCUCCAUGAUUGGGGAUUCAACCAAGUGAAAUAUUGGAAAAAUAUUCAGAAUAUUAAACAAUAUUUGAAAAAAAAUUGCAUCUGUACUGAACAUGUACAGACAUUUUUUUCCUAAUCAUUAUUUCCUACCUAAAAACUACCUCAUGUUUCUAUUGCACCAGGUGCUCUAAGUAAUCUAGGGGUGAUUUAAAAUAUAUGGGAGGAUGUACAGAGGUUAUUUUAUUGUGGGGAUGUGAGCACCCAUGAAUUUUGGUAGCUGAGGGGUCCUGGAAUGUACAUUACAUUUGAAGUUUGUGAAGGUUGUCCUGGAUGAACACCACUAUUUUAGUAUCUCAUAAGUUAGAGCUUAUCAGAUAUAUUUAGAGUAACAAUAGAAUAGAAUAACAAUACAAACUCAUAUAAUUCUAACUUGUAAAAACACUUCCAUGGGGCUGGGGUUGAGACUCAGUGGUAGAGUGCUCACUCAGCAUGUGCAAGCGCUGGGUUCAAUCCUCAGCACCACAUAAAAAUAAAUAAAUAAAAUAAAGGUAUUAUGUCCAAUUACAAAUCAAAGAAUUUGAAAAAACAAAAACACAUCCAUGUCCCAUUUCUGAUUUUCUUUACUAGAAUGCAGUGAACACCUGCUGUAAAGGAGAAAUUGGAGUCCCAGAGACUGGCCUAAGAAACAGAGCUAGAUUUCAAGUCAGGCCUAAUUUUGAAAUCAUUCUUUUCACCAUACCUUGCUGUAUGCUCAACAAUAAAAAAGAAACAAGAAAUUAGAAGGUCUCAAUUGCUUUAUUAAUAAUUGCAGCAGGGUGCUUGUGGCACAUGCCUAUAAUCCCAGCUACUUCACAGCUUGGCUGAGGCAGGAGGAUUGUAAGUGAGGCCAGCCUCAACAACUUAGUGAGCCCCUGUCUCAAAAUGGAAAAUAAAAAGCCUGGGGAUAUAGAUCAGUGGAGAGUGGCCCUGGGUUCCAUUUCCAGUACCCCCUCCCCAGACCCAAGUAAACCAGUAUCCGUGACACCAUGUUCACUACUACGAUCUCAUCAGAGUUGCAACCUCAAAGUGGUUCAGGCAAGUAACAAAAAGACAAGCUGAGAGAAGGGUUGUAAACUGCUGUGACUGAGCAUCACAGCCACCCUCCCUGGUGCAUUACCUGGUACAUUACUGUGAUCAGGGAGGCCAAAAGCUUGAGGAUCCACCGACUCCGUGCAGUUGGCAUUGUUUUAAUUGUUGGCAAGAUAAUUAAUUGCAGUUUCAAAGCUUGUUUAUUUAUUAAUCAAUAUAAUAAUCAUAGCAUUGUUUUCCUUUUUAAGCAUUUGUAGAGCCUAGAAAUCUCUUGUGGGGAAUAGGCCAAUGGAUGUGUUCCACACACUCAUUCUGUUUGGUAUUAUUUCCAGGAUAUUUGGAUGUUUCGAGGCCGACUUGUGAAAGGAGAAAGAAUCACCCUUUGAAACAGUCCUUGAUUAUAACUCUUUCAAAAGGAGAUCAAAGAAACAAGGAGUCUAAGGAAUAUGUUUUCAUAUGGGAUGAUGUAAUGUUUUCUAUCACUUGGUACCAAAAUCAAGAAACACGCCUUGGGAACUUCAUUUUGCAGAGUUAAUUUUGCAGUGCAGUGAUGUUACUUUAGUGGAAGUAAGAAUAGUAAAAUGAAAUAUAACUGUUUUCAGAAAGACUGGUUUGGGAUUACAAUCAAUAAAUGUGCCAUAUGAUUUACGUAUGUUCAAUCAGUUCCUCUCAUUGAUUAGCUGUUUUUCCCGGCAGAAAUGAAUUCCCUGAAACUCAGUGUGCACUGAGAUGAGCAUGCCUCUCCUAGUAAAGCCAACACUUCCCCAUUUAAUGUCAUGAGAGAUUUCAAACUAGAACCAUGUGAAGUACAUUCACAUUUGGUGAAGGGCGUACCAAGGCCAUCGUGGGAUCAAAAUAAGGUGGGUCCUCAUUCUCUGACCCAGGCUUCCUUCCAAGACUUCUUCAAUCCAGCUACUCUCCUUCAAAACCAGAAUAUUUUUUCAAAAAAUUUCUUUUGUUUCUAAGGAAUGUAGAUAAGGGCACCUUCCCAGAUAUUUCCUGUUAAGUAGGGGAACUGAAAGUCUUCAGAAUUUAUGAAUGAAACCUAAGCUUUUUUGAGGACCAGAAACAUUUUAAGAUACUCUAGGCUGAACUGGGAGUGAGCUUGGAUUAGGGAUUCAUUUAAUGGGCCUGGGAUUGUGGCUCAGCGGUAGAGUGCUCAUUCAGCACCAUAUUUCUAUACCAGUUGAGUCUGUGCAACCACUCUGGAAAGAAGUAUGGAGAGUCCUUAAAAAACUAGGAACCAUUUAACCCAGUUAUCCCACUCCUUGGUAUAUAUCCAAAAGUUUUAAAAUCAGUAUACUACAGUAAUAUAGCCACCUCAAUAUUUAUAGCAGCACAAUUCAUAAUAUCUAGGCUAUGGAACAGACCUAUGUGCCCUUCAAUAGAUGAAUGGAUAAAGAAAUUGUGGUAUAUAUGUACAAUGGAAUAUUACUUGGCCAUAAAGAAGAUAUUCACUUGUAAAUGGGUGGAUCUGGAGACUAUCAAGCUAAGUGAAUUAAGUCAAAUCCCCCAAAAGCCAAAGAUUGAUAUUCUCUGAUACAUGGAUGCUAACUUACAAUAAGUUGUGAGGGAACAGAAAUUCAGUAGUUUAAACACAGGUGAAUGAAGGGUGGGAGAUAGGAAUAGGAAAGACAGUGGAAUUCUUCUGACAUAACUUUUUAUAUGUACAUACACGAACACACCAGAGUGAAUCUCAACAUUGUGUACAUCCACAAGACUGGAAUCCUGAUUAGAAUAAGAUGUAUUCCUUGUUUGUAAAAAUAUAUCAAAAAUAGAUUCUCCUGUCAUUUAUUACUAAAGAGAACAUUAAAAAAUUCUCUUAGGAGCUGGGGUUGUGGCUCAGUGGUAGAGUGCUUGCCUAGCAUGCAUGAGGCACUGGGUUCGAUCCUCAGCACCACAUAAAUGUAAAAUAAAGAUAUUGUCUCCACCUAAAACUAAAAAAUAAAUAUUAAAAAAUUCUCUUAAAGACAAAAACAUGGUUCUUAUUUUUAAAAAUUAUAUUUAUGGCUUGAUUAAGAAUAAAACAGCCAGUUCCUUUCUUGUUAUUCUGCUGAGCAGAGGUUUUCCUAAGGCUUGUGUUACCAUGUUUGUUAGUUUCUUAGCCCCAGCUGGAAAGGAGAGAAGGCAAGAGAAUCAUGAAAGGGCCUAAGGAAAGGAUUCUUAGAAGGAUGGAAACUAAAAGGUAAAUAAGGAAUGCCAGUGCAAACAGCAUGCAGGAAGCAGGGCUUGUAUCUAGAAUGAACCUCCAACUAGUUUCAACCUGAAUUUCUUUCCCUGCCUGGGCCUCCCAAGAAACUGUGAUUACAGGUGUGCUCCCCUGAGCCCUGCUCCAAUCCAACGAGGAAAACCAGAUUCCAGGGAAAACAGCACAGUUAGUCCCCAAUGCAUCUGUGAGUGAAAGCCAACUGUUCAAUCAGGAAACAUGCACUUCUCAUCUCAUCUGUGUCCCUUCUGUCCCUUAGUUCACAUAUGAAUCUGCAGGCGCCCACUCUGUAGUGGGAGGGGAAUGACAGCAGGAUGACUAGGGCUGCUUUUCACCCGUGUGCACCCUCCUUGGGAAGGACGGGAGCAAACUCCUGGUGGAACAUGAAGAGAUGGGACAAAACACCUUGGCAGAAUGAG